This 571-nucleotide unclassified non-coding RNA is filed under the name Magnolia nitida. RNAcentral describes it as "partial external transcribed spacer". Lineage: Eukaryota; Viridiplantae; Streptophyta; Magnoliopsida; Magnoliales; Magnoliaceae. The record is from RNAcentral.
UGGCCUUGCUGCCACGAUCCACUGAGAUUCAGCCCCGCGUCGCAUCGAUUCGUCCCUCCCCCCCCCCCCCCCGUCUCGGAGGCGAUGAGCAACGGUUGGGGCUCGAGCGCAGCGCAGGGCAUGAUUGUGAUGGCAUGUGAGCGGUGCUCGUUGAGCAUGCCUCGGUGGGCUCCCUGCUAUUCUCUGCAGCCAACCGCCCGAGCAUGCCCCGUUCCACUCUUGGCCCGACGGCGUCGCUCGCGCGCGCCUCGGCGCCCACUCGGUUGCCCGUGCGCCGUUACCCAGUUCGAGGGAACCCAUCGGCAAGUGCUUCUCCCGCCUCUCGCUCCCGCCGUCGCGGGGCGCCGUGAGGCGGGCCUCGAAGCGGUGGCUGCGCGUCCACGGCUCCGUCGAUCGACGGCCGCCCUGGCUCGCAGCGCCCGCGCGUGCUUUCGGAUGCGGAGGAUGCUGUCGGCCGGGCGCUCUGAAACCCCGACUCUUCCUUCCGUCGCUCCCAGCGAAGGACGGCCCGCUCCGCUGCCCCGAGACCUCGAGUCGGGACGGCGGCGUCGCGGGCGUCGCGGAGGGCUGC